GCUAGCUACAGGCUUAACACAUGCAAGUCGAGGGGCAGCAUGGUCUUAGCUUGCUAAGGCCGAUGGCGACCGGCGCACGGGUGAGUAACACGUAUCCAACCUGCCGUCUACUCUUGGACAGCCUUCUGAAAGGAAGAUUAAUACAAGAUGGCAUCAUGAGUCCGCAUGUUCACAUGAUUAAAGGUAUUCCGGUAGACGAUGGGGAUGCGUUCCAUUAGAUAGUAGGCGGGGUAACGGCCCACCUAGUCUUCGAUGGAUAGGGGUUCUGAGAGGAAGGUCCCCCACAUUGGAACUGAGACACGGUCCAAACUCCUACGGGAGGCAGCAGUGAGGAAUAUUGGUCAAUGGGCGAGAGCCUGAACCAGCCAAGUAGCGUGAAGGAUGACUGCCCUAUGGGUUGUAAACUUCUUUUAUAAAGGAAUAAAGUCGGGUAUGGAUACCCGUUUGCAUGUACUUUAUGAAUAAGGAUCGGCUAACUCCGUGCCAGCAGCCGCGGUAAUACGGAGGAUCCGAGCGUUAUCCGGAUUUAUUGGGUUUAAAGGGAGCGUAGAUGGAUGUUUAAGUCAGUUGUGAAAGUUUGCGGCUCAACCGUAAAAUUGCAGUUGAUACUGGAUAUCUUGAGUGCAGUUGAGGCAGGCGGAAUUCGUGGUGUAGCGGUGAAAUGCUUAGAUAUCACGAAGAACUCCGAUUGCGAAGGCAGCCUGCUAAGCUGCAACUGACAUUGAGGCUCGAAAGUGUGGGUAUCAAACAGGAUUAGAUACCCUGGUAGUCCACACGGUAAACGAUGAAUACUCGCUGUUUGCGAUAUACAGCAAGCGGCCAAGCGAAAGCGUUAAGUAUUCCACCUGGGGAGUACGCCGGCAACGGUGAAACUCAAAGGAAUUGACGGGGGCCCGCACAAGCGGAGGAACAUGUGGUUUAAUUCGAUGAUACGCGAGGAACCUUACCCGGGCUUAAAUUGCAGAUGAAUUACGGUGAAAGCCGUAAGCCGCAAGGCAUCUGUGAAGGUGCUGCAUGGUUGUCGUCAGCUCGUGCCGUGAGGUGUCGGCUUAAGUGCCAUAACGAGCGCAACCCUUGUUGUCAGUUACUAACAGGUUCCGCUGAGGACUCUGACAAGACUGCCAUCGUAAGAUGUGAGGAAGGUGGGGAUGACGUCAAAUCAGCACGGCCCUUACGUCCGGGGCUACACACGUGUUACAAUGGGGGGUACAGAGGGCCGCUACCACGCGAGUGGAUGCCAAUCCCCAAAACCUCUCUCAGUUCGGACUGGAGUCUGCAACCCGACUCCACGAAGCUGGAUUCGCUAGUAAUCGCGCAUCAGCCACGGCGCGGUGAAUACGUUCCCGGGCCUUGUACACACCGCCCGUCAAGCCAUGGGAGCCGGGGGUACCUGAAGUGCGUAACCGCGAGGAGCGCCCUAGGGUAAAACUGG
RNAcentral lists this ribosomal RNA (1432 nucleotides) under uncultured organism. RNAcentral's name for it is "16S ribosomal RNA". It matches the Rfam family "Bacterial small subunit ribosomal RNA". The record is from RNAcentral.